GGUUUUAUGGGGUAGUGGUUAGCCCAUGAGAUUUUGAUUUAAUGAUCCUUCUCAUGACCCCGGUUCGAGUCCGGGUAAGACCU
Transfer RNA from Sphaerobolus stellatus SS14, 83 nucleotides. It matches the Rfam family "tRNA". Rfam says of the family: Transfer RNA (tRNA) molecules are approximately 80 nucleotides in length. Their secondary structure includes four short double-helical elements and three loops (D, anti-codon, and T loops). Further hydrogen bonds mediate the characteristic L-shaped molecular structure. tRNAs have two regions of fundamental functional importance: the anti-codon, which is responsible for specific mRNA codon recognition, and the 3' end, to which the tRNAs corresponding amino acid is attached (by aminoacyl-tRNA synthetases). tRNAs cope with the degeneracy of the genetic code in two manners: having more than one tRNA (with a specific anti-codon) for a particular amino acid; and 'wobble' base-pairing, i.e. permitting non-standard base-pairing at the 3rd anti-codon position. NCBI's taxonomy places the organism in Eukaryota, Fungi, Basidiomycota, Agaricomycetes, Geastrales, Sphaerobolaceae. The record is from Rfam.